UGGCGAAGAAGGAUCAGGAUUUGGAUGCUGCUCGAAAGGAGGCUGACGACAGAAUCGCUCUAGCUGAACAGAAACUGGCUUCGGUCGGCCAGUUAGAAGAAGAGAAUACCAGGCUGAAAUCUGCUCUGAAUGACGCCAACAAGGAGUGCUCGCGCUAGAAGAAGGAGAAUCUCAUCCUGGGCGAGAAGAUGGAAAGCAUUGCUCGCAGGAGGGACGAUCUGGAGAGCUAUCUGAGGAGCCUUGCCAAGAAGUUGUUCAUCAAGCUUGAAGGUGCACAUUUUGUUUCGAUUGAUUUUUUUAUGUCGACUCAGUGUACGAAAAUUGACUUAUCCUCGUGAAUGCUGAUUUUUGCCAGAACUUCUAGGAGGAGACUGGGCGGAUUGAGUCAGGUUUGGACCCAAUCAAUUCUCCCGUAAAAGAUGAAACUGCCAUGAAUCUGCUCUGACUGGAAUCCCGCAUCGACGGUGUCAUGGACUACUUGGCUCGACUGAAGGUCGCCAUGUCGCGGAUUGACCCGACACUUUGGCCAGAGACCACG
RNAcentral lists this long non-coding RNA (538 nucleotides) under Triticum aestivum (bread wheat). Its description in RNAcentral is "long non-coding RNA (TAES_LNC001661)". Lineage: Eukaryota; Viridiplantae; Streptophyta; Magnoliopsida; Poales; Poaceae. The record is from RNAcentral.